Long non-coding RNA from Cornus florida, 1449 nucleotides. RefSeq lists it as uncharacterized. Lineage: Eukaryota; Viridiplantae; Streptophyta; Magnoliopsida; Cornales; Cornaceae. The record is from RefSeq and is a predicted model, not a curated record. The transcript is spliced from 2 exons.
GGUAAGAAAAGAAAUAAUAAAAAUGAUAAUAUUCCAUGUGUACGUGUGUGUGGUUAUAUGUGUGAUACUAGAGAAUGGGUGUCUACUAAGGUCAUUGGUGCUGAAGGUAAUAAAUGGUGGAAGUGGUGUGAUGGUUCUAAUAUAUAUUGAUAUACUUAUGUUUUAUUUUAAAGUUUGACCAAGUAGUUAUUUAUAUAUAUGGGUAAGUUAUUGACCAGGUCAAGUACAUAUUCCACCCACCCAUGUAUAUAGAUAUCUAGUAAUACACUUUAUUCUAAAAGCUUCCAAAGGAGGCUGUUACUAAUUGACACACACACGCAUGAGUCAUGAAGAGGGGAAAAUCACAUUUAUAUCUAAGUGACACGUUGUCUAGAGAUUUGCAUGGACAAGAAAAAGAAAAAAAAAUAAUAAAAAUACAAAUAGAAACAAAGGAGGGAUUUUUCAGCCGUAGAAGAAGAAAAUAUUAUUAAACUUUGGGUAACACAUGUCACAUAAGCUAUGUGACAAUUUACAUUUCCUGGAGACUAGAUGUACACCAUCCAUGUGACUAUAUACUUUUCAAGACUAAAGUUAUUAUGCUUUAAAGCGGUGGCUGGUGGCUGCAAUAUAUAGUUGUCUAUAUAUAUAGGUUUCAAUUAUCAUUUAUAUGGAUAGAGAUGAGUAAAGUCAGGUUGCUGGCUGCACAAGGCUGGACCGAACACACAGGACACGCAAUUAUGUAGAUAUACUCUAUAUAUAGAUAAGGUUAAUUCUAUCUUUUUAAACCUGUUUGGACCGCCUUUGAGAAAGCCAUUGUUUUGGUUGAGACACACAAAAUAUAUCAAAACAGUGAGCUAUUUAGUGAUAGUUCAAAGAGAGAAGAAAAAUACGGAGGAGGAGGAUAGAAAAGAAAAAAGGGGGUUUUCUCUCUAAAUUGUUGUUGAAUUCAAGCAAAGGUGAGGGGUUUUAUAUUAUAAUUUCUAUGUUGGAAGUUGAUUAUUCAGUUAUUUGAAUAAUUAAUCCAAUUAAUUGUUCCAGUAUAUGUAUCAUCUAUUUUUUUUAUAUUUUAUUUAUUUAUUCAAAGGCUGUUUUGUGUAAGUGAUACCAUGGUUAUGGUUAUUUUCUUUGGGGUCAUCAAGCUGGAAAUUUAUAUAAAGACAUGUGAUUAGAAUUUAGCCAAAAGGGUGUAUAAAGUUUGAGAAUUGUAAUUGAGGUGAUGAUUGUGAUUUAAUUCUCUUUAGAAAAUAAAUAUAACUUGGUUAUAUUCUUGUCCAGGCAAGGAGAAUGAACUGAUCACUUCAGCAAUAUCAAAGGAUAAGUAGACAAUUUGAAAAGUAGCCAAGGUACAAGGUUGGGUCGCUACUGCCAGGUCUAGAAUUUUUGAGUGGGAAUGGGAAAAAGAACAAUGGAACGUCUUUUGUUUAAUAUGUAAAUAUUGUAAUAGAAUUUAAUAGUAUAAGUUGCCGUUAA